UCUCUCCACAAGCACAGUUUUGUUUUGUGAUCUGGUUGAUAAUGGUUUUGAUUAGGUGCACCCUUCAACACUGACACACAUUUUACCUUCAUCCAUGUGUCUCCAUUACACCCCUCACAUGUCUACUUUCACACUUCACAGAUUGCGGACAGGUGGAGUUGAUUGGGUUGAGGUGACAAGUUGCACCUGGGUUUGGGAUCAACUAGGAGAAGUUCCUGGUGCCCAGUCCUGGCUCUCUCUCUCCACAAGCACCAUUUUGUUUUGAUGUGGUUGAUUAUGUUUUUUGAUUAGGUGCACCCUUCAACACUGACACACAUUUUACCUUCAUCCAUGUGUCUCCAUUACACCCCUCACAUGCCUACUUUCACACUUCACAGGUUCAUUUUCCUUUGUAGUUUUAUACUUUAGUUAUUUAACAAAUAUUUGUGUUACUCCUUAACUGCCUACAUGGACUCCCUUGCUUGUCACCAUCUAAGAGCCAGGUUGUGACAACUGCAGGGAGAGUGGGAGACAUAGUAGUGAGCCAAAGACAGCUUUUAUUGUGGGGGAGGUGGGUCUUUGGCUCGUCUCUAACGCUGACUCAAAGAUGCCUGCGUGAGAACUGUAUUUCAACUGGGAGGAAAAACAAGGGAAGACAGGACAACAGUGAGAAUGAGGACUGAUGUGAAGUCCUCACAGGAACUUCUAGACUUUACCCAAGGGAAGAAUGUGGGAGAUGCAGAAUGGAAUGUGGAAUUUGUCAGAGGGGAGGGGCUGAAGGGGUAAGAGACCUCUCUGCUUUGUUAGGAUUUCCUGUGCUGUGAGGUCAGAUGGCUGCAACACUAACUUCACACAACUUCAAUGGUACCACACUCAAUGUCAGUAUUUGAGUAAUUGUCUUCUGACAAAGAAGAAAUGCUCAUAUCCCACCUGUUGGGAGUUGUUUGUUGUUUUUCAGAACAUUCAAAUAAAAGAACUAAGAAUGGCUGAUCCUACAUGGUAAAUUCAAAAAGCUUUGCUCUGAAACUCAGAAGAAACUUCCACACAACCUUUUCCUAUGUAACCCAACAUUCCACUGUAUUGACAUCAUCAGAGCCAAUUGACAGUGGGAAUAUAUUUUUCUAUUUACCUAGGCAAGUCAUUUAAGAAAAUAUUGUUAUUUAUAAUGACGGCCAAACCCGGACGACGCUGGGCCAGUUGUGCGCCGCCCUAUGGGACUCCGAAUCACGAUCGGAUGUGAUACAGCUUGGAAUAUGUAUAGCAAGCGUAAACCACAUGGAAUUUACAUUUUUCUCUUAGGCAGAUGAUUGGCUGCAUGUCACUUAUAUAAUGGUCUAGAGUAAAGUGUGCUGACUGCUCACCCGUUAGUGAUGCCUGACCUACAGUAUAUCCUGAAAGUCCUGUAUACAGUAUCAAGUUCUGCUGUGGCUUGCAGCAAAUAAAACGUAUGUUUCUAACCAGGACAUCCCAUACUCGCAUCUCAAAGCCAAGCUGUAAAAUACACAUCUUUGACUGAUACAACUUCAAAUUACACCCCCUGUUAUGGCUGAUACUUAGAAUAGUAUAUUUGUAUUUCUUUUUUUCUACACCAAUUUGCAUUUCUAUAAAUGAGAGAUGACGCCACAGGUGAAGAGACGUUCUCAGCUGUAUUCACUGUGUGGGAGAUCCCAGGAGGUUUAGGAGAGCGGUAAACAACGGUGGCUAAAUGUUUACAUCUAAUUUCACACUGAG
RNAcentral lists this long non-coding RNA (1710 nucleotides) under Salmo salar (Atlantic salmon). RNAcentral describes it as "lncRNA (ENSSSAG00000092834.1)". Lineage: Eukaryota; Metazoa; Chordata; Actinopteri; Salmoniformes; Salmonidae. The record is from RNAcentral.